Molecule: small nuclear RNA, 107 nt
Filed under: Castor canadensis (American beaver)
Lineage: Eukaryota; Metazoa; Chordata; Mammalia; Rodentia; Castoridae
Source: RNAcentral
GUUCUUACCUUGUCAACACAUAUGCUAAAAUUGGAAAAACACAGAGAAGAUUAGCAUGGCUCCUGUACAAGGAUGACAUGCAAAUUUUUGAAAUGCACAAUAUUUUA